This 424-nucleotide ribosomal RNA is filed under the name uncultured bacterium. Its description in RNAcentral is "partial 16S ribosomal RNA". It matches the Rfam family "Bacterial small subunit ribosomal RNA", at positions 359 to 774 of the family's 1533-position model. The record is from RNAcentral.
GAAUAUUGGACCAUGGGGGGAACCCUUAUCCAGCCAUGCCGCGGGGGUGAAGAAGGCCUUUUGGUUGUAAAGCACUUUAAGCGAGGAGGAGUCUACUUAGAUUACUACUCUGGGCUAGUGGACGUUACUCGCCGAAUAAGCCCCGGCUAACUCUGUGCCCGCAGCCGCGGUAAUACGGAGGGUGCAAGCGUUGAUCGGAUUUACUGGGCGUAAAGCGCGCGUAGGUGGCUAAUUAAGUCAAAUGUGAAAUCCCCGAGCUUAACUUGGGAAUUGCAUUCGAUACUGGUUGGCUAGAGUAUGGGAGAGGAUGGUAGAAUUCCAGGUGUAGCGGUGAAAUGCGUAGAGAUCUGGAGGAAUACCGAUGGCGAAGGCAGCCAUCUGGCCUAAUACUGACACUGAGGUGCGAAAGCAUGGGGAGCAAACA